Molecule: ribosomal RNA, 2162 nt
Filed under: Durio zibethinus
Lineage: Eukaryota; Viridiplantae; Streptophyta; Magnoliopsida; Malvales; Malvaceae
Description: eukaryotic LSU rRNA
Rfam family: Eukaryotic large subunit ribosomal RNA (bases 1070-2162)
Source: RNAcentral
AUGGGCUCUUGCCUCGGUCACCAUCGGCAAGGGAAGUCGGCAAAAUGGAUCCAUAACCUUGGGAAAAGGAUUGGCUCUGAGGGCUGGGCACGGGGGUCCUAGUCCUGAACCCAUUGGCUGCCGGUGCACUGUUCGAGCUACUCCCGUGGUGAGAGCGGGUGACCGUGUGCCGGUCGAGGGACAGACUGGGAACGGCUCCCUCGGGGGGCUUCCCCAAGCAUCGAACAAUUGACUCAGAACUAGUACGGACAAGGGGAAUUUGACUGUUUAAUUAAAACAAAUCAUUACGAUGGUCCCUGUGGAUGCUCACGCAAUGUGAUUUUUGCCCAGUGCUCUGAAUGUCAAAGUGAAGAAAUUCAACCAAGCGCGGGUAAACGGCAUGAGUUCUCGAGGUUUGAAAAGGGAUAGGGGGCUAAUAUAAAGGCCAAGUAACAGCACCCAUCGCACAUCAUGUGCGCACACCCCCCGGCCCCUUCAAUCGUCGGAGCCCCUAAUGUCGCAGAUCAGAUUCUCCGACGAUGCUCCGACGAUGGUGCCCCGGGUAAAAAAAAUAUGGCUCCAGCACAUGCCCGAGCCUAGCAUGUGCACCGUGGCUCAAAAUCAAACUUUGACCAAGGCCUCGACCAUCAACGGUACAUGAUGGCGCAUGGUGAUGGCAGAUACAUCGACCAUCAUCGGUACAAGCUGCCCUUUGGUACGGGCACUUACCUUGAAAACCAUCAGCACAAGCUGGGCCCUAGUGCGAGCGGUUGCCUUGAGCACCAUCGGCACAAGUCGACCCUCGGUGCGGGUUCUUACCUCGACCACCACUGAUAGAAGAUGGCCCUUGGUGCGGGCGGUUGCAUCGAACACCAUCGGCACAUACAGGGUCCUCAGUGCGGGCAGUUGCCUCGAUCACCAUCGGCACAUGCUGGGCCCUGGUGAGGGCGAUUACCUUGAACACCAUCGGUACGUGCUGGACCUUGGUGCGGGAGUUCCCUCGACCAUCAUCGGUAGAAGAUGGCCCUUGGUGUGGGUGGUUACCUCGAGCAACAUUGGCACGAGCUGACCCUCGGUACGGGUUCUUGCCUCGAUCACCACCAGUAGGGGAAGUCGGUAAAAUGGAUCCAUAACCUCAGGAAAAGGAUUGGCUUUGAGGGCUGGGCACAGGGGUCCCAGUCGCGAACUCGUCGGCUACCAGUGCACUGCUCCUACGAUGAGAGUGGGUCAUCGCAAGCCGGCCGAGGGACGGACUUUGAACGGCUCCCUCGGGGGCCUUCCCCAGACGUUGAACAGUCAACUCAAAACUGCUACGGACAAGGGGAAUCUGACUGUUUAAUUAAAAUAAAGCAUUGCGAUGGUCCCUGCAGAUGCUCACGUAAUGUGAUUUUCGCCCAGUGCUCUGAAUGUCAAAGUGAAGAAAUUCAACCAAGCGUGGGUAAACAGCGGGAGUAACUAUGACUCUCUUAAGUUAGCCAAAUGCCUCGUCAUCUAAUUAGUGACACGCAUGAAUGGAUUAACGAGAUUCCCAUUAUCCCUAUCUACUAUCCAGUGAAACCACAGUCAAGGGAACGGGCUUGGUGAAAUCAGCAGGGAAAGAAGACCCUAUUGAGCUUGACUCUAGUCUGACUUUGUGAAAUGACUUGAGAGGUGUAGGAUAAGCGGGAGCCCUUGGGCAAAAUUGAAAUACCACUACUUUUAAUGUUAUUUUACUUAUUCCGUGAAUUGAAGGUGGGGCAUGACCCCUUCUUUUAGACCUAAGGCCAGCCUCGGCUAGUCGAUCCGAGUGGAAGACAUUGUCAGGUGGGGAGUUUAGCUGGGGUGGCACAUCUGUUAAAAGAUAACGCAGGUGUCCUAAGAUGAGCUCAACGAGAACAGAAAUCUCGUGUGGAACGAAAAGGUAAAAGCUCGUUUGAUUCUGAUUUUCAGUAUGAAUACGAACCGUGAAAGCAUGGCUUAUCGAUCUUUUAGACCUUCAAGAUUUGAAGCUAAAGGUGUCAAAAAAGUUACCACAGUGAUAACUGGCUUGUGGCAGCCAAGCGUUCAUAGCAACGUUGCUUUUUGAUCCUUCAAUGUCGACUCUUCCUAUCAUUAUGAAGUAGAAUUCACCAAGUGUUGGAUUGUUCACCCACCAAUAGGGAACGUGAGCUGGGUUUAGAUCAUCAUAAGACAGGUUAGUUUUA